GAGCCCCAGUCCCCAAUUCGAUAGGAUGAAGACUCUCUCUCCCGCUCAGGCUGGCGGGCGCCGUAGCAGACAUAUGAGUGUGUGCCAGACAACCAGAGGACACCACAGAGGAGAAGAAGGUCUUCUGAAUGAAGUGAAGAGCUGCAGUUAGGCUCACGGGGAAGAGGAGCACAGAAGAGAAGCAAUGCCCUCUGGGAUGCCGCUGGUCAGACAGGUGACAUGCAUGAGGCCACCUGAAUGACCCUCAGCCCCGGCGUCAUUACCGCUGACCAGCCUCAUCUCACAAACUCCCCGAGAGAGACGCCGAACGUGCUCCACAAGCAAGGCUGCGGAGAAAGCAUCGGAGAAG
Long non-coding RNA from Doryrhamphus excisus (bluestripe pipefish), 349 nucleotides. RefSeq lists it as uncharacterized. The record is from RefSeq and is a predicted model, not a curated record. NCBI's taxonomy places the organism in Eukaryota, Metazoa, Chordata, Actinopteri, Syngnathiformes, Syngnathidae.